AUGGGAGAAGAUCAUGUUUCCGUAAACACUCCAGCAACAGCAAUCCAGGGCCUUCUUCUCCUGCUCGUUGUUUUUCUCCUGGGCUUGCUCCUUCUUCUCCUGGGUGUGCUCCUUCUUCUCGUACAACAGCAGCAACAGCAGGAGAAGUACAUGACACCACAACAAGCACAUCAACAGGCAGCAGCUAUUGGAGAUGAUGCUCUAAGCCGGCAACAUCGCACAAGCACUGGCGGCAGCUUAGCCUAUAUAGCAGGAGCGGUGUCUGCUGACCUACUGCCGAGGAAAACACAAUUAUCUCGACUCCAUACAAACACUAUGGAAGCAGACUGCUACAAAAUAGGCAGCCUGGCCGCCUCAUACAAACAAAGAGAGAAGCAUAACAGAAUUGCAGAAGGGAUAUCAGUGUUGACAACAAACCAUCAAGAGCACCUCAAAGCACCACAUGGACCUCACUCGUGGAGAAGAGGGGUCAGUGACAAGAGCUCCUCUCCCAACGGCAAAAUAGGGCCACCCGCUAAGCCAAUUUUACCUGCCCCUGGUGGCGCCGGAGAUGGAUGCUUCUGCUGCUGGCCUUCACCGCCCCUGACGCUGCUGCUCAUGGACGGAAACCGCAUCGUGUCAGGGAAGAGGAUGGAGGGAAUGCAAUGGAAGAAGAAAUCAAAAAGGAGAGGAGAGGAGAGGGGGCUGACCGUUGGGGUUCUCCAUGGCGUCGGCGUCGGGGCAACCUUCCCGUCCAUGCAUGCGAGCGACAAUGACGUGCUGGAUGGAUCUGGUAGCGAGAGGAGACGAGGUGAGGAAGAGAGGCACGCGAGCACCGGAUCUGGGCGGAGCGCGAGGCCGCCGCUGCCCCUCCCUCGCCGCGGGGCCGGGUGCGGGUCACCUCCCAUGAAAGGAGACAUAGAUGGAGUCGGCGCGGACAUGGAUGGGACUCGGACGCGCAGCGGAUGUGGUUGCCGAGGCGGGCACGGAGACGGGGUGGGUCGCCGGGAUUCGUGGCGUGGUGGAGGCGCCAUAAGGAGGGAAGGAGGAGAGGGCGAGGGAAGGAGGGUGCCGCCGCCGGUGACGGGAAAUUCGGUUCGAUGCUUCACAAAGGUUAGUCCUCGACUGGGCCUGCCCAGGCAGGCAGCGAGCGGUGUAAAAAAUUCAACAAAAAACAUGAUUCAUCACAUAGAAUUUGAUCUCACGACCGCCCUCUUGUCGCUCGACGUAGCAAGCCAGAACCUUAUAGAAGGUUUCCAAAACGGCCAGGAAUCUUCUAGAAUGUUCCCAAAACCGAAUACCGUAUUGUGUGUGUACGUUAGGGAAUUGGACCGGCCCAUCUUGAUCGCCAGGAACCUUGUAGAAGGUUUCCAAAACGGUCAGGAAUCUUCUAGAAGGUUUCCAAAAUCAGAUACUGUAGCAUGUGUCGCGUCGUCGCAGGUAUUGCGAACCAUUUUCCCGACUUUUUCUCCUUGCUCCGAUGCGCACCGCAAUGGGCCGGCCCAACUUCCGGCCCAGUUUUCCACGCUCCGCCCCGCCCCGCCCUGCCCACUACUUUCGGCGGGAGCCGAAGCCUCCCCAUCCCACCCAAAGCCAUCGCCCCCAAAAAUAGGCAGAGCUGAUGUCAGCCGAAGCGCAGAAUCCAGUCGUAAUGGCGCCCGAAUCCAAUCGAGGCUCCCGGAGCCCAGCGCUUGCGGCGUGGAGUCGCCGGGAUCGCGAUCCGUGGUAAAGCUGCUGCCUUGUGACCAUGAGGUCACGGGUUCAAGUCCUGGAAACAGCCUCUUGCAGAAAUGUAGGGAAAGGCUGCGUACAAUAGACCCAAAGUGGUCGGACCCUUCCCCAGACCCUGCGCAAGCGGGAGCUACAUGCACUGGGGCUGCCCCCUUUUAUAUUCUGGGCGGCAUGGUGCCUCAAUAUGUACUUGCCCUGUUAUUUAAUUAUAUAUGGUUAUUUCUACCAAGAAUAGUUGCUUUGACGGUCUACCAAAUUGCUAUUUUGAUGUGCAAGUUGCUAUGUGGUGUCACCUUGGAUUCUCCUGCAAAAGUUUCAGAAGUGGAGGUUAAUUCCUCAAGUGAUGUUUCUUCCAUUGCGGCAUCUUUAGAGUGGAUUCUGUUGUUUGUUGGCAUUCAUGUUUCACUAUCUGACAUGUUUCACCUACAUGAGCAGUCAUUAGUACGAAUUUUCCAGCAUCCAGGUGAAAGGGGUAUCCUUGGCAACGUGGGGACAACCCCGAUUCUAGCAGCCACAACGGGGACUCCACAAGCAUCCAGACGACACCUCCAAGAAGGGAAUGAAACCAUGGCGCUGUCGCUGCCUUGUUCGGAGCCAGACCUAGAGUUUCCUUUGUGCAUGAGGGGGCGAGCCACAAUCAGAGCCAUGAUAACGCCACCCAUGCACCUAGGAGUCAGCAAGCAGAUGAAAAAGGGCCACUGGGUCUGGGACUGCCGGAAGAAGCAGCGCGACAAGGCCGUCGCUGUUCACCUGACGCAGGUGGACGAUAUGAAUCUAGGCCUCCUGAUGGCCACUUUUAUUGAGCUCGGGCUAGCGAAAAAGCCAGCCAUGGCAGCUGUUCCAGGGGCCUUGGCUGUAGCUGUCAAACUCGCUUCCAUGGCAGCCGUUCUCAUGGGGGAGCAUUUCUUCCUCAAUGAGGAGCGCACACGUGUGGAGCUCCAACUCUCCGUCCUCGACGCCGACGCCGCCUGGCACCUCGACUCCGGUGCGUCGAACCACAUCACCGGCAAGGAGUCUGUCUUCUCCGAGCUAGACAAGAACCUCUCUGGCAAGGUGCACUUCGGCGAUGACUCAAUCGUCAACAAACAUGGCCGAGGAACGAUUCUCUUUGCGAUUGAUGACGAGCGCCACCGUGCCUUGAUGAGCGUGUAUUGGAUUCCGCUCCUAAAGUCCAACAUCAUCAACAUCAGACCACUCAACGAGAUGGGGUGCCCAACGCCACAUCGAGCAUGGCAUGAUAUUGUCAGACCGAUGUGCCUCGCUGAGCACGCCGGUGAGGAUGCUUGGCAUUGGCACGCUCGGUUCGGGCACCAGAGCUCUAAGGGGCUCGAGAAGCUGGCCAGGAAAGGCAUGGUCUGCGGGCUGCCUGCACUCGUGCAUGUUGGACAGAUGUGCGAGGCGUGCCUUGUCGAGAAGCACCGCUGUGUGCCGUUUUCGGCGGCGACGAAGUAUAGAGCGGUCGAGCCGUUCGAACGAUCUAUGUGGCCCCAUCAUGCGGGCUACAACCGAUGA
Molecule: ribosomal RNA, 3222 nt
Filed under: Triticum aestivum (bread wheat)
Lineage: Eukaryota; Viridiplantae; Streptophyta; Magnoliopsida; Poales; Poaceae
Description: partial small subunit ribosomal RNA
Source: RNAcentral